GAAACCAGUUCACUUCACACGGAUCGUCUGGCGCGUGCCCGCCAGGAAGGAAACACCAU
Molecule: non-coding RNA, 59 nt
Organism: Agrococcus casei LMG 22410
Lineage: Bacteria; Bacillati; Actinomycetota; Actinomycetes; Micrococcales; Microbacteriaceae
Source: Rfam